GAUGAACGCUGGCGGCGUGCUUAACACAUGCAAGUCGAACGGAAAGGCCCAAGCUUGCUUGGGUACUCGAGUGGCGAACGGGUGAGUAACACGUGGGUGAUCUGCCCCGCACUUCGGGAUAAGCCUGGGAAACUGGGUCUAAUACCGGAUAGGACCACUUCUUGGAGGUUGUGGUGGAAAGUUUUUUCGGUGUGGGAUGAGCUCGCGGCCUAUCAGCUUGUUGGUGGGGUAAUGGCCUACCAAGGCGUCGACGGGUAGCCGGCCUGAGAGGGUGUACGGCCACAUUGGGACUGAGAUACGGCCCAGACUCCUACGGGAGGCAGCAGUGGGGAAUAUUGCACAAUGGGCGCAAGCCUGAUGCAGCGACGCCGCGUGGGGGAUGACGGCCUUCGGGUUGUAAACUCCUUUCGCUAGGGACGAAGCGCAAGUGACGGUACCUAGAGAAGAAGCACCGGCUAGCUACGUG
RNAcentral lists this ribosomal RNA (466 nucleotides) under uncultured bacterium. Its description in RNAcentral is "partial 16S ribosomal RNA". It matches the Rfam family "Bacterial small subunit ribosomal RNA", at positions 28 to 507 of the family's 1533-position model. The record is from RNAcentral.